GCUCAGCACGGUGGCACAUGCCUGUAGUCCCAGCUACUCGGGAGGCUGAGGCAGGAGGAUCACUUGAGCCUAGGAGUUCUGGGCUGUAGUGUGCUAUACCGAUCGGGUGUCUGCACUAAGUUCGGCAUCAAUAUGGUGACCUUCUGGGAGCAGGGAACCACCAGAUUGUCUAAGGAGGGGUGAUCCGGCCCAGGUUGGAAAUGGAACGGGUCAAAACUCCCGUGCUGAUCAGUAGUGAAUCGUGCCUGUCAAUAGCCACUGCACUCCAGCCUGGGCAACAUAGUGAGAUCUUGUCUCUU
Molecule: unclassified non-coding RNA, 299 nt
Organism: Callithrix jacchus (white-tufted-ear marmoset)
Lineage: Eukaryota; Metazoa; Chordata; Mammalia; Primates; Cebidae
Rfam family: Metazoan signal recognition particle RNA
About the family: The signal recognition particle (SRP) is a universally conserved ribonucleoprotein. It is involved in the co-translational targeting of proteins to membranes.
Source: Ensembl